GCUUAUGAGGGCAAUCUGGCUGUGACAUCUGUCACCCCAUUGAUCACCAGGGUUGAUUCGGCUGAUCUGGCUAGCGAGGCAGGUGUCCCCUUCCUCCCUCACCGCUGCAUGUGCGUCCCCCCCAAAGCUGCGCUCUAGGCCAAAGAGGACAACCGUUCUUCUUGGUCAAGGGUAUUCAAGUAGCUGUGCUCCUCUGCUAGAACCUCCAAACAAGCUCUCAAGGUGAUUUACUAACUAUUAUUUUAUAGAUAUAUGAUAAUCUUGAAAAUACAGUUUAAGUGGAAAAUGAACUUAAAUGU
Molecule: small nuclear RNA, 299 nt
Filed under: Camelus bactrianus (Bactrian camel)
Lineage: Eukaryota; Metazoa; Chordata; Mammalia; Artiodactyla; Camelidae
Also listed under: 1 other name
Description: 7SK RNA
Rfam family: 7SK RNA
About the family: 7SK was discovered as an abundant small nuclear RNA in the mid-70s but a possible function has only recently been suggested.
Source: Rfam by way of RNAcentral